UAAUAAGUGUUUUAUGGCACUUUUUAAAUCCACAUCCACCUUGUGUGCAAUGUCAGUCGAUCUUCUUCAUUGGAGAUCGACCAAACAUCAACCUUUAUCUUUUAACUCUUUGUCUGAAAAAUAUUAUGAAUAAACAAUUCAAAAUA
RNAcentral lists this unclassified non-coding RNA (146 nucleotides) under soil metagenome. RNAcentral's name for it is "partial internal transcribed spacer 1". The record is from RNAcentral.